CGGGGUGUGGCUCAGUUUGGCUAGAGCGCUUGGUUCGGGACCAAGAGGCCGCAGGUUCAAAUCCUGUCACUCCGACCA
This 78-nucleotide transfer RNA is filed under the name Clostridiaceae bacterium. RNAcentral's name for it is "tRNA-Pro". It matches the Rfam family "tRNA". From Rfam's summary of the family: Transfer RNA (tRNA) molecules are approximately 80 nucleotides in length. Their secondary structure includes four short double-helical elements and three loops (D, anti-codon, and T loops). The record is from RNAcentral. Lineage: Bacteria; Bacillati; Bacillota; Clostridia; Eubacteriales; Clostridiaceae.